AGGAGACGUAGGGGAGAGUGCUUCGUCAUAACUGGAAUUAUCUGAACCCCGGCUGGAAUCCUCUUGACCCUACAGAGAAAACAGCAAAACAGGUGGACCUGGAAAUACUCACCGGCAGAAGGACUGUCCCCUCCCAAGGGGCCACUUGACUGACUUUCACUCAGCCCUGUUGGGAGGCCAGUCUGUAGUGGCUUCUCAGACUCCUUUAAUAACUGAGAACAACCCACCUGUCCCAGGAAAAAGCACACAGAAGAAUCUGGAAACACAAUCAUGCCAGAUGCCUACCAAAGUUUCCCUACAUGGCACUGCCCUCACCGGGAAAGGUUCCGCUCCUUCUUGGAUGACAAAGCCCUCAAUGAU
Long non-coding RNA from Fukomys damarensis (Damara mole-rat), 360 nucleotides. RefSeq lists it as uncharacterized. The transcript is spliced from 3 exons. The record is from RefSeq and is a predicted model, not a curated record. Lineage: Eukaryota; Metazoa; Chordata; Mammalia; Rodentia; Bathyergidae.